Molecule: long non-coding RNA, 328 nt
Organism: Lemur catta (Ring-tailed lemur)
Lineage: Eukaryota; Metazoa; Chordata; Mammalia; Primates; Lemuridae
Exons: 3
Source: RefSeq, a predicted model, not a curated record
UUGGCCUCCCAGAGUGCUAGGAUCACAGGCGUGAGCCACUGCGCCUGGCCUGAACUGGAUUUCUAUCACAUGCAACUCAGGAGCCCUGACUCACGAGGAGAAAAGCUGCCCACCCGUGUUUGAAAAUGCGGUAGUCACACAGGUGGAUGAGUUCCACAGUGUGCAGCACGACCUACUUCUAGGGCCAGCCCUCAGCCAGCUGACAACGGAGGCUACUGGAGGAAGAUCGGUGGGGAGCUCGGCCAGAACCAGCUGCGGAGCCCGGGGAUGCCAUGCCAGAACUGGUUCUCUCACAGCCAGACGAAAACGCCGUGAGAGUCAGAUGCAC